This 497-nucleotide ribosomal RNA is filed under the name uncultured bacterium. RNAcentral's name for it is "partial 16S ribosomal RNA". It matches the Rfam family "Bacterial small subunit ribosomal RNA", at positions 28 to 507 of the family's 1533-position model. The record is from RNAcentral.
GAUGAACGCUGGCGGCGUGCCUAAUACAUGCAAGUCGAGCGAACAGACGAGAAGCUUGCUUCUCUGACGUUAGCGGCGGACGGGUGAGUAACACGUGGAUAACCUACCUAUAAGACUGGGAUAACUUCGGGAAACCGGAGCUAAUACCGGAUAAUAUUUUGAACCGCAUGGUUCAAUAGUGAAAGACGGUCUUGCUGUCACUUAUAGAUGGAUCCGCGCUGCAUUAGCUAGUUGGUAAGGUAACGGCUUACCAAGGCAACGAUGCAUAGCCGACCUGAGAGGGUGAUCGGCCACACUGGAACUGAGACACGGUCCAGACUCCUACGGGAGGCAGCAGUAGGGAAUCUUCCGCAAUGGGCGAAAGCCUGACGGAGCAACGCCGCGUGAGUGAUGAAGGUCUUCGGAUCGUAAAACUCUGUUAUUAGGGAAGAACAUAUGUGUAAGUAACUGUGCACAUCUUGACGGUACCUAAUCAGAAAGCCACGGCUAACUACGUG